RNAcentral lists this ribosomal RNA (653 nucleotides) under Salinicoccus roseus. RNAcentral's name for it is "bacterial SSU rRNA". It matches the Rfam family "Bacterial small subunit ribosomal RNA", at positions 52 to 684 of the family's 1533-position model. Lineage: Bacteria; Bacillati; Bacillota; Bacilli; Caryophanales; Staphylococcaceae. The record is from RNAcentral.
UACAUGCAAGUCGAACGCGCGGAUCAGGAGCUUGCUCCUGUGACGCGAGUGGCGGACGGGUGAGUAACACGUAGGCAACCUGCCCAUCAGACUGGGAUAACCACGGGAAACCGUGGCUAAUACCGGAUAAUCCUUUUCCACACAGGUGGGAAAGUUGAAAGGCGGCCUUUUGGCUGUCACUGAUGGAGGGGCCUGCGGCGCAUUAGCUGGUUGGGGGGGUAACGGCCCACCAGGGCGACGAUGCGUACCCCACCUGAGAGGGUGAUCGGCCACAGUGGGACUGACACACGGCCCACACUCCUAGGGGAGGCAGCAGUGGGGAAUCUUCCGCAGUGGAAAAAAGUCUGACGGAACAACCCCGCGUGAGUGAAAAAGGGUUUCGGCUCGUAAAACUCUGUUGUCGGGAAAAAACGCCGACGGGAGUAACUGCCCGUCGGGUGACGGUACCUGACCAAAAACCCACGGCUAACUACGUGCCAGCACCCGCGGUAAUACGUAUGUGGCAAGCGUUAUCCGGAAUUAUUGGGCGUAAAGCGCGCGUAGGCGGUUCGUUAAGUCUGAUGUGAAAGCCCCCGGCUCAACCGGGGAGGGUCAUUGGAAACUGGCGGACUUGAGUGCAAAAGAAGAGAGUGGAAUUCCGUGUGUAGCGGUGA